AGUGAUAUAACCAGGUCAAAUGGUGAUUCCAUUUCUAAUUUUUGAGGAUUCUUCAUACUAUUUUCCAGAGUGGUUUCACCAAUUUGCAGUCCCACCAGCAAU
This 102-nucleotide microRNA precursor is filed under the name Marmota monax (woodchuck). The record is from RNAcentral. Lineage: Eukaryota; Metazoa; Chordata; Mammalia; Rodentia; Sciuridae.